CGAGAACAAGUAAGUGAUAAAACAAUCUUUAUUUAAAUAUUUAAAAAUAGCUUGGGGAAUAGGAAAAGGGCAAUUAAAACUAAACUCUGACUCGGCCCUCCAGAUGGGCUAUGGCCGGGAAGAGGUCAGGGAGCAAGGGGGCCACGGGGAUCCGGGGCGUGGGACUCGGGCCCCGGCCUGAGUCUUAGGUAUCCGUAGCGCCCUCCUUCUUCCUCCUCUUCGCUGAAUACAGCUCACGGUAAGUACUGGUUCACACAGUUCGUUCUCGGGGUGCUCACUCUCUUUCUCUUCCUCCACAGGCAACGGCUGGGACACACAGGCACAGUUAGUUCAGCUUGGUUUUGCUCUCACCUCUUCGCUGAUUACAGCUCACAGUAAGUACUGGUUCACACAGUUCGUUCCUUGGGUGCUCACUCGCUUUCUCUUUCUCCACAGGCAGCGGCGUAAGUACAGGUUUCCUCGGUCUCUCCUCGUGUUACCCACUCUCUCUCCUUUUCUCUCCACAGGUAUCAACUUGGGCACAAUAGCACAGUUAGUUUGCUUUGAAUGGCUCUCACCUCUGGGCUGGACACAGCGUACUGUAAGUACAGGGUUCGCUCUAUUCCUCCUCGUGUUAUUCACUCUCUCUCCUUUUCUCUCCACAGGUAUCAACUUGGGCACAAUAGCACAGUUACUCUGCUUUGGAUGGCUUUCACCUCUGGGCUGGACACAGCGUACUGUGCUAUCUCCGGAGAUCUGAAGCACGCUCACAACAUAUACUGUACUGAACUAGGCUAGGACCAGCAGUCUCCUUGUCCUCCCGCGACGAAGUGCGUGAAGGCGGGGGUUUAUCUGACAGGACACACGGCAAUACACAGCAGCCCACAGCAAUAUACAGCACCACGUCAAAAUUAUAGGUUUUCACAGCAUGAAGACUCACCCACCACACUCAGUGUACGAAAAGGACACCCGUCUUCCUUCACUUCGCUUGGUUCGGAUCUGGCGAUG
This is a long non-coding RNA of Cyprinus carpio carpio, 987 nucleotides long. The record is from Ensembl. NCBI's taxonomy places the organism in Eukaryota, Metazoa, Chordata, Actinopteri, Cypriniformes, Cyprinidae.